GUUCCAGCAGCCGCGGUAAUACGAAGGGGGCUAGCGUUGUUCGGAAUUACUGGGCGUAAAGGGCGCGUAGGCGGUGCCUCAAGUCAGGCGUGAAAGCCCCGGGCUCAACCUGGGAACCGCGCUUGAGACUGGAGUACUAGAGUUCGGGAGAGGAUGGUGGAAUUCCCAGUGUAGAGGUGAAAUUCGUAGAUAUUGGGAAGAACACCGAUGGCGAAGGCAGCCAUCUGGACCGACACUGACGCUGAGGCGCGAAAGCGUGGGGAGCAAACAGGAUUAGAAACCCUUGUAGUCC
RNAcentral lists this ribosomal RNA (292 nucleotides) under uncultured bacterium. RNAcentral describes it as "partial 16S ribosomal RNA". It matches the Rfam family "Bacterial small subunit ribosomal RNA", at positions 505 to 796 of the family's 1533-position model. The record is from RNAcentral.